Molecule: ribosomal RNA, 491 nt
Filed under: uncultured bacterium
Lineage: Bacteria
Description: partial 16S ribosomal RNA
Rfam family: Bacterial small subunit ribosomal RNA
Source: RNAcentral
GUGAACGCUGGCGGUAGGCCUAACACAUGCAAGUCGAACGGCAGCACAGUAAGAGCUUGCUCUUACGGGUGGCGAGUGGCGGACGGGUGAGGAAUACAUCGGAAUCUACUUUUUCGUGGGGGAUAACGUAGGGAAACUUACGCUAAUACCGCAUACGACCUACGGGUGAAAGCAGGGGAUCUUCUGACCUUGCGCGAUUGAAUGAGCCGAUGUCGGAUUAGCUAGUUGGUGGGGUAAAGGCCCACCAAGGCGACGAUCCGUAGCUGGUCUGAGAGGAUGAUCAGCCACACUGGAACUGCGACACGGUCCAGACUCCUACGGGAGGCAGCAGUGGGGAAUAUUGGACAAUGGGCGCAAGCCUGAUCCAGCCAUACCGCGUGGGUGAAGAAGGCCUUCGGGUUGUAAAGCCCUUUUGUUGGGAAAGAAAAGCAGCAGGUUAAUACCCCGCUGUUCUGACGGUACCCAAAGAAUAAGCACCGGCUAACUUCGUG